Molecule: ribosomal RNA, 492 nt
Filed under: uncultured bacterium
Lineage: Bacteria
Description: partial 16S ribosomal RNA
Rfam family: Bacterial small subunit ribosomal RNA
Source: RNAcentral
AGUGAACGCUGGCGGUAGGCCUAACACAUGCAAGUCGAACGGCAGCACAGUAAGAGCUUGCUCUUACGGGUGGCGAGUGGCGGACGGGUGAGGAAUACAUCGGAAUCUACUUUUUCGUGGGGGAUCACGUAGGGAAACUUACGCUAAUACCGCAUACGACCUACGGGUGAAAGCAGGGGAUCUUCGGACCUUGCGCGAUUGAACGAGCCGAUGUCGGAUUAGCUAGUUGGCGGGGUAAAGGCCCACCAAGGCGACGAUCCGUAGCUGGUCUGAGAGGAUGAUCAGCCACACUGGAACUGAGACACGGUCCAGACUCCUACGGGAGGCAGCAGUGGGGAAUAUUGGACAAAGGGCGCAAGCCUGAUCCAGCCAUACCGCGUGGGUGAAGAAGGCCUUCGGGUUGUAAAGACCUUUUGUUGGUAAAGAAAAGCAGCAGGUUAAUACCCCGCUGUUCUGACGGUACCCAAAGAAUAAGCACCGGCUAACUUCGUG